This 522-nucleotide ribosomal RNA is filed under the name uncultured bacterium. RNAcentral's name for it is "bacterial SSU rRNA". It matches the Rfam family "Bacterial small subunit ribosomal RNA", at positions 335 to 873 of the family's 1533-position model. The record is from RNAcentral.
ACUCCUACGGGAGGCAGCAGUGGGGAAUAUUGCACAAUGGGCGAAAGCCUGAUGUAGCAACGCCGCGUGAGUGAUGAAGGCCUUCGGGUUGUAAAGCUCUGUCUUUGGGGACGAUAAUGACGGUACCCAAGGAGGAAGCCACGGCUAACUACGUGCCAGCAGCCGCGGUAAUACGUAGGUGGCAAGCGUUGUCCGGAUUUACUGGGCGUAAAGGAUGCGUAGGUGGAUAUGCAAGUCAGAUGUGAAAUACCCGGGCUUAACUCGGGUGCUGCAUUUGAAACUAUAUAUCUAGAGUGCAGGAGAGGUAAGUGGAAUUCCUAGUGUAGCGGUGAAAUGCGUAGAGAUUAGGAAGAACACCAGUGGCGAAGGCGACUUACUGGACUGUAACUGACACUGAGGCAUGAAAGCGUGGGGAGCAAACAGGAUUAGAUACCCUGGUAGUCCACGCCGUAAACGAUGGGUACUAGGUGUAGGGGGUAUCGACUCCCUCUGUGCCGCAGUUAACACAAUAAGUACCCCGCC